Long non-coding RNA from Setaria italica (foxtail millet), 974 nucleotides. RefSeq lists it as uncharacterized. The transcript is spliced from 3 exons. NCBI's taxonomy places the organism in Eukaryota, Viridiplantae, Streptophyta, Magnoliopsida, Poales, Poaceae. The record is from RefSeq and is a predicted model, not a curated record.
GGUGCUGCCCUGCCUGCGUGCAUUGCAUUACUCUACUCGUGUGGAUUUCAGGGACCAGAUUGCAUUUAGUUCCGGGUGCAGUCAAGACGUACGUACUGGAGUCUGGAGCGAGCGACGCCGCAACAGCACGUACAACGGUAAUCAAUGUAUCGUCUAUAUAGUGCCACGUCUGCUUGUUUUGCCUACGUGGACUCGAUUUAAUGGAGUGAGAGAACUGUGUCGUCGUCUCCAGCUCGUGCUCCCAAGUUUUAUCGCCGGCCUGGAAUCCGUUGUACGCGUCGUCCCCCACUGAAGCCGUCCUCUCAAUCCGGUGAGGCGACUCAGUGGCGGCAAAUUUAUGUCCGCACGCGGGAGCGGAAGGAUGCAGCUGCCGGUGCCGGAGGAGAAGGGCACGAUGUCGUCCGUGGCUGCCUUCCGGGAUGGAUCUCGCCACGGCGCUACCUGUUUUGACGUCGCGUUGUCCUUCACGGCUUCACCGGCGCCUACAGUCACCGCCACCUUGCCCUUCUCUGGCUGCGGCCAUCCUUCCUCCGCGGCCGCCGCAGCAUGAUUUCCUCAACCGCCGUCUGCAUCGGUGAUGUCGAGUUGCCGACCCCUUCCACGGUGGUGCCAUGGUGGGCCACGGAGGCCAGUGCAAGCUAAAUUUCUCCACCCCAUCAUCAGAUCCCGCAGCCUUGAACUUUCGAUGAAACAGGAACUUUAGGAGGGAGUAAAGAAACAAACACUCCCUUAUCUCCCAAAUUGGCUGGACUGAACCGGUUAUUUGUUGCAUUGUGGAGUUUGCGGUGGUUUAGUUUCAAGCGCAUGAAAGCUUGGAAGCAAUGCCGAGGAUAGGAGGACGAUUCAUUUGCCAGUACCCUAUUUCUGAACCGCAACCCUGCAUACCUUAUUUCUGAACCGAUUCUUUAAAUUUCUGAAGCAUCAGAGAGUUUGUUUGUUGGAGCAACGUGUGUAUCUAUUGAUACAAAUUCUCA